GAGGAGCCCGCGCACGAUUAGCUAGUUGGUAGGGUAAUGGCCUACCAAGGCUUUGAUCGUUAGCUGGUCUGAGAGGAUGGCCAGCCACACUGGAACCGAGACACGGUCCAGACUCCUACGGGAGGCAGCAGUGGGGAAUCUUGCACAAUGGGCGAAAGCCUGAUGCAGCGACGCCGCGUGGGGGAUGAAGCUUCUCGGAGUGUAAACCCCUUUCGACCCGGACGAAUGCCCGCAAGGGAGUAACGGUACGGAUAUAAGAAGCCCCGGCUAACUACGUGCCAGCAGCCGCGGUAAGACGUAGGGGGCCAGCGUUGUUCGGAAUUACUGGGUGUAAAGGGUUCGUAGGCGGUGCGGCAAAUCGGGAGUGAAAUCUCUGGGCUCAACCCAGAGGCUGCUUCCGAAACUGCUGUGCUUGAGUGUGGGAGAGGCGCGUGGAAUUGCAGGUGUAGCGGUGAAAUGCGUAGAUAUCUGCAGG
RNAcentral lists this ribosomal RNA (475 nucleotides) under uncultured Acidobacteriota bacterium. RNAcentral describes it as "bacterial SSU rRNA". It matches the Rfam family "Bacterial small subunit ribosomal RNA", at positions 224 to 704 of the family's 1533-position model. Lineage: Bacteria; Pseudomonadati; Acidobacteriota. The record is from RNAcentral.